RNAcentral lists this ribosomal RNA (431 nucleotides) under uncultured bacterium. Its description in RNAcentral is "partial 16S ribosomal RNA". It matches the Rfam family "Bacterial small subunit ribosomal RNA", at positions 29 to 507 of the family's 1533-position model. The record is from RNAcentral.
AACGAACGCUGGCGGCAGGCUUAACACAUGCAAGUCGAACGCCCCGCAAGGGGAGUGGCAGACGGGUGAGUAACGCGUGGGCAUCUACCCAUCCCUACGGAAUAACGCAUGGAAACGUGUGCUAAUACCGUAUACGCCCUACGGGGGAAAGAUUUAUCGGGGAUGGAUGAGCCCGCAUUGGAUUAGCUAGUUCGUGGGGUAAAGGCCUACCAAGGCGACGAUCCAUAGCUGGUCUGAGAGGAUGAUCAGCCACAUUGGGACUGAGACACGGCCCAAACUCCUACGGGAGGCAGCAGUGGGGAAUAUUGGACAAUGGGCGCAAGCCUGAUCCAGCCAUGCCGCGUGAGUGAUGAAGGCCUUAGGGUUGUAAAGCUCUUUCACCGGAGAAGAUAAUGACGGUAUCCGGAGAAGAAGCCCCGGCUAACUUCGUG